AUUGAACGCUGGCGGCAUGCUUUACACAUGCAAGUCGAACGGCAGCGCGGGCUUCGGCCUGGCGGCGAGUGGCGAACGGGUGAGAAAUGCAUCGGAACGUGCCCAGUAGUGGGGGAUAGCCCGGCGAAAGCCGGAUUAAUACCGCAUACGACCUGAGGGUGAAAGCGGGGGACCGAAAGGCCUCGCGCUAUUGGAGCGGCCGAUGUCGGAUUAGCUAGUUGGUGGGGUAAAGGCUUACCAAGGCGACGAUCCGUAGCUGGUCUGAGAGGACGACCAGCCACACUGGGACUGAGACACGGCCCAGACUCCUACGGGAGGCAGCAGUGGGGAAUUUUGGACAAUGGGGGCAACCCUGAUCCAGCCAUGCCGCGUGCGGGAAGAAGGCCUUCGGGUUGUAAACCGCUUUUGUUCGGGAAGAAAUCCUCUGGGCUAAUACCCCGGGGGGAUGACGGUACCGGAAGAAUAAGCACCGGCUAACUACGUG
Molecule: ribosomal RNA, 484 nt
Filed under: uncultured bacterium
Lineage: Bacteria
Description: partial 16S ribosomal RNA
Rfam family: Bacterial small subunit ribosomal RNA
Source: RNAcentral